UACAUUAAGAUCUUGAUGUUGUGCUCCUUCCUUGCACCUUGAUGCGUUGUCUAUUUCAUACUUAGAAAUAGCUUACAAAGAGUACUUUGAUAAAUCUCAGAUUAUAUCGAAAAUUAUUUUUUCAGCUUUCAUGUUUUUAUAAAGUUCAUUGUUAAUAAUAUGAACUUAAAAUGAUUUUAUUUUUCACAAAUGUUUAUUUUUCACAAAUAUUUCAUUUCAUUUUCUUAUUAUUCUUAUUCUUGAUGUUGUGCUCCUUCC
This 258-nucleotide long non-coding RNA is filed under the name Ricinus communis (castor bean). Its description in RNAcentral is "long non-coding RNA (RCOM_LNC002717)". The record is from RNAcentral. Lineage: Eukaryota; Viridiplantae; Streptophyta; Magnoliopsida; Malpighiales; Euphorbiaceae.